UGUGUGUGUGGACACACGACUACAAUGUCGUAUGGUCGGAGCGCGGGCCAAGAUACAAAUUUGUGUUCGUGCUCUGAGGAGUGGAUUCUUAGGUUCUCAAGAUCUCGGCCGUCGUCUUUCGUCCUCUCCGAGAUGGCGAUCAGUGGAUCUCCGGGACAAGAAGGUUGCGUCCAAAAACGGCAGCUGGAGACUUGCAGUGUAGCAGAUGACUUGCAUAAAGAGAUGGACUGUAAGCCAUACAAAGCACAUGAAGCAGAAGAGAAAAAUUUGUCAGGAUGUGGUAUUAGAGCUAAGUGGUUCAGGUAACGAGGUAAAACAUCUAGAAUUUUGAAACUCCACAGGUAAAAUUAGAUUUUGGUGCAAAUAUUUUCUAAUCACUUUUUGCGAAGCUUAUUAAUUUUAGGCACAACAGCAAAAGUUUUGUCUGUUCUGAUCCUCUGGCACUACAUAUUUAAACAACAUAGUAUUAUAUGAUGACCAUUUUUAUACUAUUACUUGGCAAUAAAAGAUACUAAUUGUUCCAAGAACAGUGAAAUUACUUUGCUGCAGAAGAACAGAAUUAAAAUAAAAUUACUUGGUUCAUGACACUGUAUGAGUGAGUAGAAUGACCACAUACAUGAUUUAUGAAUUGACUAAAAAGAAUGUUUAGGUUUGGGUUGCUUCAAUUUUUGUCAUUGAUAAAUUGCAUGGAAUGUAAUAUCUUUUUUCUUAAGGGUGAGCCAUAUCUGUGGUCGUUAUCCAACACACUAGGUCUAAAAAGGAGAGGAAUUUGUAUAGGAAAUCUACUUAAGAUUGAAAUGGGGGACUUUGAAUGGGUCUAUUUCAUAUGCCAUCAUGAUGCUUAAGCUUGAAAGUUCAUUAGCUUCUCUUAUCUAAUUAAAGCACACCCUUCAAAAGCCUCACAGAGAGAUACAUUUUCUUUUUAUUUUCCUCCUGCUCCUCAGUCAUUAUUAUUGGACAGAAGCACCACAAAAGAUGCUCUGCUCUCCUGCUUGAAUCAUUUCACUUAUGUUGCCUAGUUGUUCUGGUUCUGAGGAGGAAAAAAAAAAAAACUCGUUAAUGCUGAGGGGACUUGAGAAUCCUCAAACAUAUGGUGAACUGUUAAUUUGACCAAUGACAUAUGGCUAAAGACUUAUGAUCAUAUUUAUAGUUGUCAAUAUAUCUUGCUUAAAAUUGUGGGGUUUAUCAUGUUUAUCUCUGAUUAUACUUGGCUAAUUUAUCUAUUUAGUCUUAGUUCUUCAUUCUAAUUUUGCAGCUAAUAGGUCAGAAUUUUCACUUUCGAUGGCAUAAUUCUUUACUAACUUAUCUUGUUUCUGUAGAAUGCUCAGGUGACGUUGUAUGAUGACAGUGACACACUCAUAGAUAGAAGGUUUGUGAAGAAAGAUGAGGUGGUUGAAUGUGGCAGAAUGCUGACCAUGGAAACUCAUCUUGUUGAUGUUGGAGAUCUUGAAGCAGAUCAUGGACAUGUUACAAAGUUAGAUGUCAGUGGUAGAGAUAAGAAAUUAAAUGAAGUGGCUAAAUACAGGGACAAAAGGGUAUUUAUUAAUUGUUUCUUCUUAUAAUAGGCAUUAAGUUCCUUUUUGUAAAAUUUACAUUAGUGGUCAUUGCUUGGUACAAUGAUAAAAGGCUUGGGCUGACAGGCGUAAUGGCUCAUGUUCAAGUCCUAGGCAGCUGAUUUGUUCAAAAAAAAUCACCAAGGUUAGGUUAUUUUGUUGCAGACCAAGUUUAGGUUAUUGCUCAUGGUAAAGAACCUUUCUUACACAGAACAGUAAAAGCACAUUGCAGAGUAAACGACCAAAUAACAUUUUAAAUGCGAUACAUUGCAGCAUAAAGGUCACUGGUUCUGCCAUAUGUAAUUAUUUAACACAUUUAAUGGGUGAUUUCUGUCGAAUGUUUAGGUUCUUAUCCAAAGUACCCUUAUCCUCAGAUUAAAGACAUAUUGGAUAGUAGACUACAGAGAAACAUUCAGUUGCGUUACUGAGCAGCAUUAAGUGAAACAAGAGGACUGCAUUUGGUAGCUCUAGAGCAGCACAAAGUUGUCCAAAUACAACAUAUUCACCAUUAAAAGAUGGGGCAGUACUGAGCAGCAAGUUCCUCAAGUCAACUGAACGGGUGGAACCAGGCAUUGAAUUUGAGUUGCUCAACUAUCUAGUCGAAGUUUCCAGGAAGAAGGUCUCCACUAGCGUCCUUUAGGGCAAGUUGCAAGUUCUAGAUGCUCAAGUGACAGAAAGUUCACUAUUAAUAGGGAAAACCUUAGUUGCAAGACAUUGCCUACCGGUUUGUCUGUUCUUAUUAGAUGCAACUUUUAGAUGUUAUCUAUCAUGCAAUAUGAUUUGAGUAUUCUUCAUCCUGAUCAUGAGGGUGAUCUUUGGUGUAAUGGUAAGGUUGCUCCAUCGUAACCUGGGUGUCACGGGUUUGAAAAUGGAAACAGCCUCUUCACACGUGGAGAUAAGGAGAUUUACAGAGGGUCAUUCAAGGCAAGUGAAAGGUUCUAGCACUCAACAAUUAGGAAGUCUACAAGUUGUUCAACACUGCUAAGUAAUGAGCCACUGCCUGACGGUUUGUUGGUCCUUGGUGCUUCUUUUCUACUAAUAUUAUCUUCAUUCAAAUGUUACUGAUUUGACAAUUAGUCCAGGCAUAAUGUUGUCCAUACUUUCUAUCUAUAUAUGCAUUGGUGAACCUUUCCUUGCUAUUUACAAAGGAUUAGUGGUUUAUAUUAGAUGAACAUGAUAGCUGCAGAAUGUGAACCAUUCUUUAGUUCCAUAAUAAUGUCAUCUUCUUGGUGACUGCCAUUUUCUGUCUAUUCUUUGGAAGCCAUUACCAGAAGAGAAUCAGACCGCAUUGUAUUGGAUGUACGAGGUCAUACCAAGAAAGAGCUUAGUGUGUCAGGACGAAUUUUUUGAGGGAAACUGCUAGUGGCAAACAUGAAUAUGACUCUGCUGGCGGUGCCAUUCAAACUUCUACAUUGGGAAGUCUCUAUGUAAAUUUCAGAGCUUCUCCGAACCUCAUAAAUCAGGAAUUACAUUGCAGCGGGCAUGGAUAGUGAAGAAAAUUACUAUUAGAUGAUUAUUCAUCUUCUUGCAAUCGGUUAUCAUGGUGUGCAUUUUACAUUUUUAAGUUAUUGUAAGUUAGAAUUUUGGUCAUCCAAUAGUCAAAUAUACAAUUUCUGUAACUUCUGGUCAUCCAAAAUCCGAACUACAAAGGAUUUAAAGCUGUAGUUUGGUUCUCUUAGAUCUUAAUAUAGAAUACCAAAUGUUUGGUUUUUUUU
Elaeis guineensis (African oil palm) is the source of this 3268-nucleotide RNA transcript. RefSeq lists it as uncharacterized. The record is from RefSeq and is a predicted model, not a curated record. Lineage: Eukaryota; Viridiplantae; Streptophyta; Magnoliopsida; Arecales; Arecaceae.